This 482-nucleotide ribosomal RNA is filed under the name uncultured marine eukaryote. Its description in RNAcentral is "SSU rRNA". It matches the Rfam family "Eukaryotic small subunit ribosomal RNA", at positions 1 to 490 of the family's 1831-position model. The record is from RNAcentral.
AACCUGGUUGAUCCUGCCAGUAGUCAUACGCUCGUCUCAAAGAUUAAGCCAUGCAUGUGUAAGUUCAAUGAUUUGACCAAAAAACUGCGAAUGGCUCAUUAUAUCAGUUAUAGUUUAUUUGAUAGUCCCUUACUACUUGGAUACCCGUAGUAAUUCUAGAGCUAAUACAUGCGUAAACACUCGACCUUUGGAAGAGUGGUAUUUAUUAGAUCGAAACCAACCCGUUUCGGCGGUGUCCUGGUGAUUCAUAAUAACUUUUCGGAUUGCAUUGCAACAUUUCAUUCAAGUUUCUGCCCUAUCAGCUUUGACGGUAGUGUAUUGGACUACCGAGGCUUUAACGGGUAACGGAGGAUUAGGGUUUGAUUCCGGAGAGGGAGCCUGAGAGACGGCUACCACAUCCAAGGAAGGCAGCCAAGGCCCGUAAAUUACCCAAUUCCUGAACACAGGGGAGGGUAGUUGACCAAUAAAAUAACAAAUGCCCG